RNAcentral lists this transfer RNA (77 nucleotides) under Nitriliruptor sp. RNAcentral's name for it is "tRNA-Pro". It matches the Rfam family "tRNA". From Rfam's summary of the family: Transfer RNA (tRNA) molecules are approximately 80 nucleotides in length. Their secondary structure includes four short double-helical elements and three loops (D, anti-codon, and T loops). Further hydrogen bonds mediate the characteristic L-shaped molecular structure. tRNAs have two regions of fundamental functional importance: the anti-codon, which is responsible for specific mRNA codon recognition, and the 3' end, to which the tRNAs corresponding amino acid is attached (by aminoacyl-tRNA synthetases). tRNAs cope with the degeneracy of the genetic code in two manners: having more than one tRNA (with a specific anti-codon) for a particular amino acid; and 'wobble' base-pairing, i.e. permitting non-standard base-pairing at the 3rd anti-codon position. The record is from RNAcentral. Lineage: Bacteria; Bacillati; Actinomycetota; Nitriliruptoria; Nitriliruptorales; Nitriliruptoraceae.
CGGGCUGUGGCGCAGUCAGGUAGCGCACUCGUCUGGGGGGCGAGGGGUCGUCGGUUCAAGUCCGACCAGCCCGACCA